GCAAUAUCUUGUUCGAUAUAAGAUCUUGGCGAUCAAUCUUAUACCGAACGAGAUAUUGCCU
RNAcentral lists this non-coding RNA (61 nucleotides) under Spodoptera frugiperda (fall armyworm). Lineage: Eukaryota; Metazoa; Arthropoda; Insecta; Lepidoptera; Noctuidae. The record is from RNAcentral.